GGGUGCGAUCAUACCAGCACUAAUGCACCGGAUCCCAUCAGAACUCCGUAGUUAAGCGUGUUUGGUCGAGAGUAGUACUAGGAUGAGUGACCUCCUGCGAAGUCCUCGAUUUGCACCCC
This is a ribosomal RNA of Corchorus capsularis, 119 nucleotides long. NCBI's taxonomy places the organism in Eukaryota, Viridiplantae, Streptophyta, Magnoliopsida, Malvales, Malvaceae. The record is from Rfam.